Long non-coding RNA from Oncorhynchus tshawytscha (Chinook salmon), 818 nucleotides. RefSeq lists it as uncharacterized. The record is from RefSeq and is a predicted model, not a curated record. The transcript has 3 exons. Lineage: Eukaryota; Metazoa; Chordata; Actinopteri; Salmoniformes; Salmonidae.
AAUGGUUUGUAUCUUUCACUAAGCAGUAGUAAACUAUGAAUGGGGGUGGUGCCUCUCAUCUUGGUUUCAGGUCAGGGAAAAUGAAACUUAAAUCCUCACCAUCACAACAUCAUCAACUGAGGCAGCAGAGACAGACAGGACAAAGUAACAGACACCCUCUUCAUUGAGUUGAAUUGAGUUCAGGAUAAACAACAGAGGAAAAGUACCUCAAAAUUAUGACUUCAGCUCCUGAUAAACCAGAUUGUGGGCCGAUGGUGGUUACUGUUGGAGUCUUGACGUUGGUCAUUGGAAUCGCUGUUGGAGUGAAACUGAAGGAGGCCACAGACCGGUUCGUUCAACAACAUCAAUGGAAGAUCAUUGCCUUUGUCACUGUUUUUAUUGUUGUUUGUAUCAUGGUGCUUCUGAUCUUGAAGAAACAGGAAGUAUAGAGGGAUACUGAAGCCUGACUCCUACGAUUAGCAGACACUUCUCAGUCAGUCACACACAACUCCCUCUGGAUAAGAUCUGCUAAAUGACUGAACUGUAAACAACAUUUGGAUAAAAGUGAUUCAUAGUAGGCUAGAUGUAUUUGUCUAAGAUUGUAUUCCUAUUUUAAUGUGACCACGAUCCUUUUCCAUCUCUGGCCAUCUCUGUGUGUGCUCGUACUUUGUCAAUGUUUGUGAUUUAUAGUUGUAAGUGUCUUAUAGAUCAGUUGAACAUCGACUUAAUAUUAUGUUUUUGUAACCAAUUGCCUGUGUCUCUUCAACUCAUUUGUUUUUGCUCAUCAACAUGUCAGUAUCUUCUGGGCUGAUUAAACCAAAUAGUAAAUCAAAUUUUAA